This 447-nucleotide ribosomal RNA is filed under the name uncultured bacterium. RNAcentral's name for it is "bacterial SSU rRNA". It matches the Rfam family "Bacterial small subunit ribosomal RNA", at positions 330 to 792 of the family's 1533-position model. The record is from RNAcentral.
UCCAGACUCCUACGGGAGGCAGCAGUGGGGAAUAUUGGGCAAUGGGCGCAAGCCUGACCCAGCAACGCCGCGUGAAGGAAGAAGGCUUUCGGGUUGUAAACUUCUUUUCUCAGGGACGAAUAGAUGACGGUACCUGAGGAAUAAGCCACGGCUAACUACGUGCCAGCAGCCGCGGUAAUACGUAGGUGGCAAGCGUUAUCCGGAUUUACUGGGUGUAAAGGGCGUGUAGGCGGGGACGCAAGUCAGAUGUGAAAACCACGGGCUCAACCUGUGGCCUGCAUUUGAAACUGUGUUUCUUGAGUACUGGAGAGGCAGACGGAAUUCCUAGUGUAGCGGUGAAAUGCGUAGAUAUUAGGAAGAACACCAGUGGCGAAGGCGGCUUUCUGGACUGAAACUGACGCUGAGGCACGAAAGCGUGGGGAGCGAACAGGAUUAGAUACCCGUGUA